This is a long non-coding RNA of Vespula pensylvanica (western yellowjacket), 397 nucleotides long. RefSeq lists it as uncharacterized. The record is from RefSeq and is a predicted model, not a curated record. The transcript is spliced from 2 exons. Lineage: Eukaryota; Metazoa; Arthropoda; Insecta; Hymenoptera; Vespidae.
GAGAGAGAGAGAAAGGGAGAGAGAGAGAGAGAGAGAGAGAGAGAAAGAUGGGAGCACGUUUCUACCCUCCGUCGCUUUAGUCUGUCGUGGUGUGUCUCGUCGGCCGGCUCGUGCGAUACCACGCGCGAACGCUCUCUUUUUCUCUCCCCCUCUCUCGCUCUCUCUCUCUCUCUCUCUUUCUCUCUCUUUCUCUCUCCCUCUCGCUCGCACGCUCGCUUCCCAUUUCGUUUUUCGUCGUCGAACCAACGAGAAUUUUUUUCCCCGGUCCGAUCGCGAGAGGAAUACAUCGAUAAUAUAUUCGAUUAAGGCCGUCAUAUUAUUAAAGUUAAUAAGAGGAGGGAGGAAUUGAUAAAAAAGAGAAACAGAAAAAAGGGAGAAGUAAAAGAAAAAGAAGAAG